GCCGCCGGUGAGAGAAGGCGGCUCACUGACGGGAGGGGGGGCGGGGGGGGGGAAAGGCAGCGCGAGGCGCGCGGACAGCGGCACGCGCCGACCCGCGCACGCCCCCGCCCCCGCGCGGCGUAAGACGGAGGCGGCGCCGGGGCCGUGGAGGGCAGCGCCCCGCCGCGGGAGGGGCGGCCGGCGAGGCGCGGCGCACCUGCGAGCCGCGGGGGGCCGAGGGGGGCGGGCGACGAGAGGCGACCGGAGGCGCGGAGCGAGCCGGCGCCCGCGCAGCCCGCCCCGGCGUGCCCAGGCGCCGCGGCCCCGAGGCGAUGGAGCAGGAGAAGUACCUGCCCGAGCUGAUGGCCGAGAAGGACAGCCUGGACCCCUCCUUUGUUCACGCGAUGCGCCUCCUCGCAGACGAAAUUGAAAAAUUUCAGGGUUCUGAAGGCAAGAAGGAAGAUGAAGAAAAGAAAUAUCUUGAUGUUAUCAGCAACAAAAAUAUAAAGCUGUCAGAAAGAGUUCUGAUCCCCGUCAAACAAUAUCCAAAGUUCAAUUUUGUUGGCAAAUUGCUUGGACCAAGAGGAAACUCCUUGAAGAGGUUACAAGAAGAAACAGGUGCAAAAAUGUCCAUCCUGGGGAAAGGAUCCAUGAGGGAUAAAGCUAAGGAGGAAGAACUAAGAAAAAGUGGAGAAGCCAAAUAUGCACACUUGAGUGAUGAGCUUCAUGUAUUAAUUGAAGUGUUUGCUCCACCUGGGGAAGCGUAUUCUCGUAUGAGUCAUGCCUUGGAAGAAAUAAAAAAAUUCCUCGUUCCUGAUUAUAAUGAUGAAAUUCGCCAGGAGCAGCUGAGAGAACUGUCAUAUUUAAAUGGUUCUGAGGAUUCAGCACGUGGACGGGGCAUUCGAGGAAGAGGGAUCCGUGUGCCACCUGCAGCUCCUUCAAGGGGACGUGGGGGUGCGAUUCCUCCGCCCCCACCUGGACGAGGUGCCCAAGCACCCAGAGGAGCGCCGGUGACCCGUGGAGCCCUCCCCGUCCCACCAGUGGCAAGGGGCGUUCCCACCCCUCGAGCAAGGGGCACCCCGGCUGUCCCAGGCUACAGACCACCCCCGCCACCUGCACACGAGGCCUAUGAAGAAUAUGGAUAUGAUGAUGGAUAUGGGGGUGAAUAUGACGAUCCAAGCUAUGAGGCAUACGAUAACAGUUAUGCCACCCAAACACAAAGUGUGCCUGAAUAUUAUGACUAUGGUCACGGAACAAGCGAAGAGGCUUAUGACAGCUAUGCACAAGAAGAAUGGGCCACAACCCGUUCCAGCCUAAAGGCACCGCCUCCAAGGUCAGCCAGAGGGGGUUACAGGGAACACCCCUAUGGUAGAUAUUGAAGGUCCUCCUCAUCUGUGACCUCAUCUCAAAGACAAUUAAUAGCCUGUGGUCUCCACAUAAACAGCAACAAGACAAGGACUCACAGGCACUGGACAGCAAAGCAGCAGAUCUGCUGAGAAGUGGACAGAUUUUUGGAGACUUAGGGGGAAGUACUGUACCUUUUGAACGGUGUUCAGAGAAAUGAGCGCGUUCAGCAUCAUUUGCAAUACAUCAGUGGGAUCUGAAGAACUGAGCCUCAGGUUGGGACUCUUCACAGCCCUGAGUUCUGGACCUGCCAUUACAAACCUCAACAGGAUAUGGUGGCACUCAGACUUACAGUGAUCUUCCAGUCUAUCAGGUGAGCUGUGGUAUUUGUCUGUAUGGGUUUAGUUUAUGUCAAAUGUGAGAUAAUUCAUCUUACCUCAGUCUGAAAAAAAUAGGAUUAUUUUAAACCAGUUCACCUUAUGUUUGCCAUUGGAAGAGAGCUCAUACACAGUUACCUAUGAUGCAUGUUAGUUUGAGACAGGAUAGUCUGAAAAUGUAUGUAAAUUCUUAUGUUCUCUUUCUGUGGUAAAUAAUAUUUAAUCAUCUUUCUCACAGAAGUAACAUAAAAAUAAUCAAACUAUAUUUGUGCAGUGGGUUGAACAUAGAAAUAGGUUUUAAAAAUGCCAAAUAUUUGGAGAAAUCAUCUCCUUUGGAUUAGCUAACUCAUUGAGGUGGUCCUGGUAAAAUCAAAUUUUGCAGAUUCUGGGGGUUUUUUUGCUCUUUCUUUGCUUGUUCAUCUAGAAGAACUUUGGUAUCCUCAUGACCUGUUGUGAACAUACACUUAUUAAAAUGUCUAAGGCUCAGUUACUGUAGCAUUGUCACUACAAACUAUGAAAACCUGUAAGAAAGUAAAUAAAAGUAUACCAGAGGACAUCUGGGUGGAAAACAGUAAACAAAAACCAGUCAUACCACUAAGGUUUAAGACAGAUACAAAUACUUAAUUCAAUCUCAUAUCCAGAAUAAAUUAGGUCUUGCAGAGAGAAGGGUAGCAAAAGGUCCUGUGAUUAAAGGCUACGUCCUCUUGUAUAUACUGAAGAACAUCAUCUAAUUAUAUUGGAAAGUAGAAAUCUAACAUUUCCUGAAUCUUCCAAACUAAAUACUUAUAUGGAAGUUGUAUUUUUCUGUAAUAAGCUUAUUUAUAGCCAUAUGUCACAUAAAAAUACAGUUACUGCGUUUAGUUAUUAGGGUUUGUUCCUUCAGCAAACAGCAUGUGAAACAAAAGGCCACUUUAAGUCUUUGUUGAUGGUAGCUAGCAAAAGCAGUACCAAUAGCUAAUGUGGAGAUACUCUCCUGGCAGACUCCAUACAGUGGCAGCAGAAAUACCCACCUCAAUCCUGUACACACCAUCACUUCCCACACUUCUGGUGCAACCACAGUCCUUCCCUUGAUUCUUCUGACCGUACACCAGAAAACGCACUGGAACCUUAGUCUCCUGCACUGCAGAACAGCAUGGUCCUCUUACAGGAUUCCAUUCCUUGUCAUCAUGUGUUCUGAAUGUGAUGACACUUUUCUGCCUGUGCUAUUUUUGGAUUUGUUCUCUGCAAAUGGUGAUAAAACUUUGAACUAUGUCUUGCUUUAGAUGUAGAUUUUUCUCUACAGAGAAAGAGCUAAGAGGAUGUGGCCAAAAGCUAUUCAAACCUAACAUGUUUCUAGACUAGAGAAGAAAAAAAAUAUGUAUUUUUCAACAUUCCUCCCACUAGCUAGAGCUGGAAAUAAACCCUAGGUCACAGUACUCACACUCCAGUUUGAACUGGGAUGCGAGAUAAAGAAAUGAGUGAAAAUUUGCAGGUUUCUUAAGGCUUUACUUAGAUUACAGCUAAGUGUGUUUACAUUGUAGAUAAUAAUCUAAGGCUCUUAGAAGUGUUUUUCACAUUAUAUCAAUGUGGAAUAAGAAGAUUGAUGCCUCUAUUGGCAUUUGUGCUUUGCACAUAGCAGAUGGAAGGAGAAGGGGGAAGCUGUUUGCUCUGCUUCACAAAGAAUGCUAUUCAUCAAAACCAAAAUACCUGUACUUAUACCCCAGUCUCAACCAUUGGACUACAUUUCCUAAAGUGGCUUAAAAGUGAGGCAUGGAAGUAGGUGAUCAUUUUCAUUCUUUGCCUAAAGAAAAUGUUGUAGUGUUCUUGGAAACUCAGCGUAGCGAUUCCUUUUGGCUUGAUAACUUCAGAGUUUAAUAAGUGAAAAAAGUGAUUCAGGAGUGUGGAGGACUCUACUUAUAUUUCUAGAAAGUGAACAGAAAUCUGCGGAGGAAGAAAGGGAAUUCCGUUUUUUCCCUGUCUAAGAAAGCCAGUACUUCAUAGUAAAAUACCAAGUUUCACCUGCUUUCAUGACUUCCUUUACUGUUUCUGACUUUCCUGUUUUUCAGUUAUAUAUAUAUGUAUGUGCAUAUAUACUCAAUUCAGGUCCAAAGGGCAAUUUAGCCCCUUUCAGGUACGUGUCAAAAACAAGUGGGAUGAAAUGGCCUCUGCUGUUUAGAAAAUGAGACUAGAUGCCUAGUGUAGACUACGUAGCUGUCUUUUAGAUAAUUGAGGUUGGGUGAAAGUAAUCCCGACCUUAAUAAUCAGACUUUUAAGGAAAAGAAUUUUAAAUUUCAGUUAUGGGAGAUACAUUAAAAGCUACAGGUUAUGUUUAUCAUAUCGUAAUAUUAAGUUGUGUAGAGCUGGGGGAACACAAGGCUUGACACAUGCUUGUCUUUGGAGUUUGAGGUAAGCCUGGUCUGUGCCUGAUGCUCUUCAACGGAGCAAGAGGUUGAGAAGUGGGCAUAGAGAAGCACGGCCUGAUGCAGAAGAGCUUUUGCUGUGAUAGAACAAGCUGUUCAGGCCUUCUCUUUGAGCUCCCCACGUGCAGCAUUCACCGCAUGGAAACUGCCCUGUGGAGUUUCCCAGAAGUCGAUUUUCUGUACUUCUAUAACCUUUGCUAAUUCUUUCCUCUCAUGGCUUUGUUGUUGGACUGCGUGUUUAUUAAAGGAAUGUGAUUUGCUUAGCAGGUACUUGUGUUAAUAACCCUCAAUAUUUUCAAAACACAGAAACUUCCAUCAGUAUUGGAGCACUGGAGACAUACUUUUGUCUUCAGAAGUGCUGAAAACCUGCAGCUUUCACAAGCCUCAGCUUCAGGUUCUCGAAGAUCAGGAGUCAUCAUCGGUACACAAGAUCUACAUAUUCUCACCCAAAACACCUUUUUUGAACCUCUUGUCUUGCAUCUUUAUACAGAUACUGUGGAAAUUAAUAUAUUACAGAUUUUGAGACAGACAGCUGGUAUUAUUGAAAAGCAAAGAAAUACUGAAGACGCAUAGAUUACACUAAUAUCUCACUAAUAGCUUGAAUUGCAGCUGAAGUGAGCCUACUUUAUUUUCCUAAAAGCAUCCCUGAUGACUGGGAUAUGUUGCUGUACUCAUGCACUGUAGUGGUGGUCUGUGAAAACAGGUAAGCAAAUAAGAAGAUAAAUUGUAGAUAUAUAUGGAUUUUUCUAAAGGUAGGUAGAAUUAAGUGUUGGAGAAUAUUCAGCCUGAAGCUAAUAGAUAAAAGGCACUGUGGACCAUACUGGUAAUAAAUACAUUAAGCUGUUAGUUAAUCAUAGAUCUUGCUGGUGAGUUCUGUAGCUACAUCUCUAACUGCUCUGCAGCAUGUAGAUUCGGGUGACUACACACUCCUUAUAACACUGAUACAGAGACAAGUGGUUAGUUAGGGUCAAAUCUAGCCUUUAGGCUGUGUCCUGAACUCUCUUUUCUCUGAAAAUCAAAUGUUAUUUUUAGCUUUUAUUGACCCAACCAUCUGACCACUCAGCAUUAGUUUCUGGUCAAACGCACUUCUCACCCUCUAUGUCUAUACCGACUGACCAAAGAAGUUGUGUUCUUCAGACAUUAAAUGGAUUUUUAUUACUGAGGUCCACAGUGCAGAUCACUGGAAGUUAUGUAAUAAUGUGGAAGGACAUGUAAUUGAAAGGCUGUCAGAAGAUAAAAGUGUAUCAAGCUUCCCAGAGCGUUCACAUCGCAACUCACAAAGUCAGAUGACAUUGAAAUAGCAACUCAGUGUUUAAUGCAUGCACCUCUGGUGGCUGUGCAUCACAAAGUCUGUAGCAUAAAAUUUCAUACCCGAGUUUUCCAUUAAAGAAGUUAGCUGUUGCAUUUCUGAAUAACUUUCUUUCUAGCUCAACUUACCUGCUGAGGACACAGUACUUUGUCCUUGAGUAGGCAGGAUUGCUUUCAUCUUACUCUUCCCACUGGAGCAGAGAGGAUGUAAAGUGUAAGUACAUAUGGAGCAAUGCACACGUGAGUAAUUGCAACACAGGCAUAUAUUAUUAUUGGAUUUUUUUAAAAUGUCAAGCAAUAAUGCAUGAGAAAUAAAAGUAAGUCUGUAACCAUCCUGAAAUUCUCCUAAAUGUGCAGUAACGCCAUAAAAGAUGCCUGUAUUUACUACAAAUAAUAAAACUGUAGCAUCAUGCUAAUCAAAUUCAAAUCAGUUCAACUGCAUAAUUUGCAGUGAAGAGGUGCUUAUGAAACACAAAAUGAACUCCAGAAUGGAAGGUUCAUUGCUUCCUAAUCAAAAGCAGUCAGCUCUAAACACCAGCCAGUCAGGUGACAAGUUUGUCAUUUCUCAGCUGUACUCUUGGAGGGAAGUUACCAAGAAGGCUUGACAGCCUUUAAACUUCACAGAGCAUUUUUCGCCUAUUUCUGAAUGUCAUGUUGAUCUACAAAAACUCCUGGGAGGCUGGAAGGAGAGGCAGAAUAACAGCAGUUCUAUUAAAAUAUAUUUGCAGCAAUGAAUGUCAAGCAGAGUUUAUGGUGUGAAAAAACCGUAUAGUUUCUGAAAAGAAAUUUUCACCACCCCUCAAGUCUGGUUCUUUCUUGUCUAAUUGUGUCCAGCUACUCUGGGGGACUGAGGAGUGCCAAUGAUUAAUUGCCUAGGUGUCAGAGAAGUACAGGUUGGUAAUGCAUCAUUAAAAGCCAGAGAUCAGGGUGUCUGAAUUCAAAUGGGAAUCUCCGAGUGAAUAUAUUACUACUAUAUACAAUUAAAAGCUCAAACCAGAAAUCAUUUACUUUCAUAAUUUAGAACAAUGGCAGCUCUCCAGUGAAAACAUAUUUACAGUAGUUUUACAUAGCUCUCUACAGGCUUAGUACAAAAGGUAGGGACAAAAAUUAGUAUGCACCAAGGUGGUAGCAGAGAAACCCAUCUUUGAGCCAUUCUUUCCUUUUCAUCAGCAUGAGCUCUGCAAAAUAGGGGAAAGAAUUAUGAGUAGGUGGACAGCAUCUAGGUUGCCAAGGGCAAAUCACUCCUAGGGGAAUAACUGCAAUUUGAGCAACGGAGUCUGACCUUUAUGUGACCUGGGAUGAACAGGUCUUCUCUGUUUUAGCCCAGCAUGAGCAGCAGUUGCGGGGCAGCCAGCCUGAAGUCACUCAACUACCCCUGUGUGAAGGGCUGUGUUCCCCUCCUUUGGCAAUUACACCAUUGUCCUGUAAGAGUUCUCUGAUGUUGACUAAUUUCUUCAAUUUCACAUCCUCAAGUGUGGGACUUUAUAUGUGUUUUAGUAAAUUUUGGUAUUGGUUGAAGUCCUGUUAAGCUUCUGAGGUCCUUAAAUUGCUUCUUGGAGGGUUUUUUUUGUCUUGUAACUUAGGUUAUAAAAGUAGCACUAUAAACAUUAAUUGAACAGCCAUUAAGCAGUAUGGGUGUUUGUUUUGGGUUGAUAGGGGAUAUAAAGCUUCAUACCCUGUGGUGGAAAACAAUUAGAUCUGAUGAUGAACAUGCUAUUAAAUAUAGCAUUACCAGACUUCUAUCAGUUUAACUUUAGAAAAUAGCAACCAGCUGUAGCCAAAGCAUACGCAAGUGAUAGAAAGUCAUAUUUUAAUUGUCAUGUCAUAGCUUGUUAUAAAUAUUGUCAUUUCUAAUGUUUUAUGCUAAUGACAGUGACUAAUGGUAGUCAUUACCUCCAUUCAUUCUCAUAAAAAAAUUCCUCAAGAGGGGAUGAUCAUAACUAGUAUGCUGUUAAAAAUUAAACUCUAUUUUUCUGAGAUAGAGAACAUUAAAAAAACCCAACAUUUCAGUACCAAGAGGUUGCCUAGCUAAUUUAUUUUGUUUUGAGUGUGUUUGACAACUACAGCUGUUCUUAAUUGUGCCAUGAGUUGAACAUAUAUUCAUUUUAGGAAUGUUUUUGGCAUGCUAACGUGUAUACGUGUCAUGUCUUUGUAUGGUCUCUGCAAAAUGGGAUAAAAGGUGAAUCUCACAGUGGUAUACCUGUGGCCAGAAAAAAAACCCUGAUGCUGCCCCUGUAGAGCCUUACCAUUAAGAACACUGAAUUUCCUCAUCCAUUUCUUAUUUCAUUUAUGAGUUCUGCUUACCUGACAGGUACAGAGUACUUCAUUAUGUGCACAAACAGAAAUGCUUAAAUGGAUGGAGCAGCCAUUUACGUCUGAUAGGAGCUAAGUGGGACAUUAAAUUAAUGCCAAACAAGUGAGUGUUCAUUUUAGUUUCAUUAUAAAUGGCCGCAGCACAGCAGUAAAGUGUUGACUCUCAUGUGCUGACAAGUUCUAUAUUUCUUACAAACUUCCCUCCGAGCUCAAUGUGGAAAGACAAAUUCACACUCUGCACGAUGAAAUUAGCAGCAGAUGCAUUAAUAAUUGAAUAAGGAUCUCUGGAGACACACCAUAGUUCAGCAGGAGAGUUGGUGACUGGCUGAUUUUAACUAGAGGCUUCUGUCAUAUGUGUAUAUAUACAUAUAUGCAUAUACAUAAGGCCCAAGUUAAGAGUCGCUGCCUGUAUGCAGCCUUUGGUAUCGAAGUCUUUUAGAAGACUUUGAAGGUGUAUUUGGCAUGUCCACAAGCAUACUGCUAACCAUUACUCUGGACAGUGUGUGGUCUUGCUCAUCCCUCCUUUCUCUGUGACUGUUCUCAAAUUACAACCAAAUUCAACAUAAUCGGUCUGAAUUUACCUCCAGAUGAUGAGUUGAGUGACUGAAAGACUUUCACUGUAUGCAAGACUCUUGCCAUAGACCUCUACACCUGGAGCUCCUAUAGAAAUGAAACAUUUUCCUGAAGUACAAAAUGUAGCUUCUCUCAGAAAAGCAUUAAGAUGCUGAGCUGCCAUCUUCAUUUCCGUCCCUGUAAGCAAAGUAGAUGUCCUUUGAACCACAUGCAUUCCAGAUUCUCAGGUUUGGGAAAGCAAGGAAGGAUGUGUCUUUUGGACAGUAGCAAGAGGAUUGCCAGAAAAAAAAACCUGCUCUUUUUAAGGAGCCACUAUGCCACCAAGGCAAUGAUGCAAUUACCUUAUACUUAAAUUAUGAUUGCUCCUCACACCAAGUAAUAUUAUGCUUGGAAGACAUUGACAAAACAGUGUGACAUCUCAUAGACAGCAAUACACUGGGGUAAUUUCUCAUGGGCUUAAAAUCAGCACUUUAUUGCAGUAGUGCCAAGAGAGUGAUAGCAAUUUUAAUAAUGUAAGAAUUUGUCCCAUUUAGAGGAAAAGUAGCAAAUUUAGCACACUGUUACUAGAAUAACUCCAGAUAGUUGUCAGCUCUACUCACUGUCUGUGCAGACUUCAGUCACUAGUUUCAAGUUGCACAGGUUGAACUGACUUCUGUGUUUUGCUUUCCUCCACUUACAGUUUAUUUUAUAAAUCUCAGGAUCUGGGAAACAGAAAAAUUGAACUUCAAAAUAUCUAUGAGUGUAUUUUCUGGAGUAUCAUCAACUAAAGGAAAGCUAAUCUUAGGUUUCUGUAAUAUAUUGCAAUAUUUUUAAUAAGCUAUAAUAUGAUUUAAUAAAGUGGUACUGUUUUUAAAAACAAUACUCAUCAAUAUAAAUACUAAGUUCUAUUCCUUCUCUUUAGAUAUGCAACUCUUUUUAUUCAGUAACAGUGGAUACAUUACUUAUUCCAUAAGAGCUUGGUAUCAGUCCUGUCCUAAUCAAAAUAUUGGAUUUGAGAUCUUUCUAGUAUAAGAAACAUUUAAACAGUUUCUGUUGUCAGUUGAAAUAGGAGGUAAGUCCCAGAGAUUCAUAUUUGUCUAACAAAAUGAUGUCUCAAUCUAUUAGACACCCUGCAAUAUCCUGCAAGUGUCUUAGCUGAGGAAAGAACAGUCCAUUUUUUGCUUUGUGAUGUUGGACCACACUAGAGAUAAGGGAAUAUCAGAUGAAAGAGUAAACAUGCUAAAAGAAUACCCUGGUUUCAGGAUCAUCUUCUUUUGAGGUUCUUGAAACAAAGAUGUGGAAAUUAAAUUGGAUUUACAUAUACAUUUUUAGUGGACAGAGGUAACUUUUCAGAAUAAUAUUUUUCAUUUAAUUCACACAUGUAUAAUACAUUUCAUUGCUAUUUUUAAAAAGUAAUGUUAUCAUCAUCUGAGGUUUUAAGGAAGAGACUUAAAUAAGGUCACGUACUGGUGAAUGAGAAGAAUACACAUGAAUUGCAUAGAGCAAAGAGGAAUAAAGAAGCUGUAUUAAUGGGGACAGGGAGAGAGAGAUCAUGAGUCAUUAAGUAUGGCUUUAUGCUUCACAUCUCUCUACAGUGGGUUUAAUCCUCUUAACUGCUUUCCAUUCAUUCUGUUAUUCCCAUGGAAUAGAAGUCUAAGUCUGCUCGAGGUUUAGUCAUGAAUGUUUUGCAAUCCAGUAACCUUUGUGUCUUUUGUUAACAUAUACAAGGCACGUCAGAGGUGCCACUGUUUAUUCUUAAAAUCUGAUGUAAUCGCCAAUUUUUGCAACUCCGGGCAGUUAUUCCUGUAGAAGCAGAGAUAUUUCUAAAGCCUUUUAGUGAAGGAAUAAACCAAUGGCUUUCAUUCAGGUUUUGCAAGUCACCGGAUGUUCAAAACACCAAAGCAAAUUAAAAGAACCCCUUCUCUUUUGCUAUCACAGUAAUUUUGCACUUGAAUAUAUGAUGAUUUGCUAAUAUAAAAGCUAUUGAGGAAGAUAGAGUGAUUUUCUUCUAGCACUGCCUUGAAAAGUAGUAAUAAAUGUUGCGUUUCAAAUUACAGCUUUCCUUGAAAUGUGACUUCAUUUAAAAAGAAAAGGCAUCUUGAGCACCAGAUUUUUCUCCCUUUGUGACUUCAAAUCAGAGGUUAGUGAGACUUUAAUCAAGAAAAAAAAAAUAUCUAAUGAACAGCAAUUUGAAACACAGCAUUUGGAAAGGUCAAAAUGGUACAUUACAUCCUUAUUAUCCAAAAGAACAGAUGAGUUUAAUAUCCUGGCAGCAUUUUCCUGUGAAGAAGAUAUUAAACAAGAACUGAAAAUGGCACAAGGUUUGCUCUUCCUUUCUUAUGACAAAGAUUGUAACAAGAUGAUGGAACUAUACAGAAUAAAUCUCUUUCUGCUUUAAUGUUCAGGCUGGGGAUCCUGCCUAGAUUUCAAAAAUCUAAGCUAACCAAAGAGCCAACACACAUGCUAUUUUUUUCAGGUCCUUUACAAGACAUUUUCCUGCCUAUAGGACCCAAUUUCCUAUUUUCUAGUCUUAAACAUGAGAAGACAUAUCAGCAGAAGGUAAUCAGUGCAAUGAGUUUGGGCAAAUACUAUGUUGAACUGCAACAAAAAUUGCACUGCAUCAGCACUGCUUAAAAUGUAGAUUUUUUUUCAACUUCUGUUUGAAUAGACCUAAGAACAGAGGUAAUGUAUCCCAACACACAAUGUAUUGCAUGCGUUCUGCUUUUGAGAGUUCCUGAAGGUAUGGAACUGUUUGAAGGCAAAGGAAUUUGUAGCAUAUCCCAUAGCUUGUUAAAAAUUUGAUUAAUAUAAGGAACUGUCACAUUCGCUUCCUUAAAUCAUGAUCUGCAUGAAGACCCUUCCUUUUUGUUUUGUAGGUCUAAGGAGAGAAAAAAAAAACAACAAACCAACUUCCUGAACUUGAUGUUGUAAUUUAACACUAAAAUACACCAUCAGGGUCUUCAUGUUAAAUCUUAUUAUGACAACUAAAGAAAUGCUAUGCUUAAAAAUCAAAAAAUGUUUGGCAUGCACCUGUAUUAGUUACUUGUAUCCAUACCACAUGAGAUAUGAGGUCUGCUAUUACAUAAGGAAGUAACAAGUUAUAUAUUAAAGGUAUUCAUAAUUAUUAAAGAAAACACUACAUAUUGUUCCAAAAGCUAUCUGUCUUGAAGUAUUGCUGGCUGAAGUAGACCUACAUGGAUUUGCACAAGCUCACAAGUAAAAAUCAUAUCAAACCUUUUUUCCCUUUUUUCCACACCACCUAAGGAAUACAUUUGAAAAAAGAAUUCUCCAUGGUACAUUACAUGCAGCAUCUUGCUGAGAAAAGUCAUUCUGCUUUGGUUGAGUGAGAUAAAAUGAACAUAUCCAGCAUAUGUUUUCAGUGUCUGGAGUGAAUAUAUAUAUAUAUGUGAUCGUGUGUCUCUGCGUGUAUAUAUA
Molecule: RNA transcript, 11707 nt
Organism: Falco peregrinus (peregrine falcon)
Lineage: Eukaryota; Metazoa; Chordata; Aves; Falconiformes; Falconidae
Gene: KHDRBS2
Gene name: KH RNA binding domain containing, signal transduction associated 2
Exons: 12
Source: RefSeq, a predicted model, not a curated record